Molecule: ribosomal RNA, 253 nt
Filed under: uncultured bacterium
Lineage: Bacteria
Description: partial 16S ribosomal RNA
Rfam family: Bacterial small subunit ribosomal RNA
Source: RNAcentral
UACGUAGGGUGCAAGCGUCAAUCGGAAUUACUGGGCGUAAAGCGUGCGCAGGCGGUUAUGCAAGACAGAUGUGAAAUCCCCGGGCUUAACCUGGGAACCGCAUUUGUGACUGCAUAGCUGGAGUACGGCAGAGGGGGAUGGAAUUCCGCGUGUAGCAGUGAAAUGCGUAGAUAUGCGGAGGAACACCGAUGGCGAAGGCAGUCCCCUGGGCCUGUACUGACGCUCAUGCACGAAAGCGUGGGGAGCAAACAGG